GAUGAACGCUAGCGAUAGGCCUAACACAUGCAAGUCGAGGGGCAUCACAUGAAGUAGCAAUACGGAUGGUGGCGACCGGCGCACGGGUGAGUAACACGUAUGCAACCUGCCUUCAACAAGGGGAUAACCCGUUGAAAGACGGACUAAUACCCUAUAACACAGGGGUCCCGCAUGGGAAUAUUUGUUAAAGGACAACCGGUUGAAGAUGGGCAUGCGUUCCAUUAGCUAGUUGGCGGGGUAACGGCCCACCAAGGCAACGAUGGAUAGGGGAACUGAGAGGUUUAUCCCCCACACUGGUACUGAGACACGGACCAGACUCCUACGGGAGGCAGCAGUGAGGAAUAUUGGUCAAUGGACGCAAGUCUGAACCAGCCACGUCGCGUGAAGGAAGACGGCCCUACGGGUUGUAAACUUCUUUUAUACGGGGAAUAAAGUGCCCCCACGCGUGGGGUUUUGCAUGUACCGUAUGAAUAAGGAUCGGCUAACUCCGUGCCAGCAGCCGCGGUAAAUACG
This 513-nucleotide ribosomal RNA is filed under the name uncultured bacterium. Its description in RNAcentral is "bacterial SSU rRNA". It matches the Rfam family "Bacterial small subunit ribosomal RNA", at positions 28 to 527 of the family's 1533-position model. The record is from RNAcentral.